This 476-nucleotide ribosomal RNA is filed under the name uncultured Pseudomonas sp. RNAcentral describes it as "bacterial SSU rRNA". It matches the Rfam family "Bacterial small subunit ribosomal RNA", at positions 53 to 524 of the family's 1533-position model. The record is from RNAcentral. Lineage: Bacteria; Pseudomonadati; Pseudomonadota; Gammaproteobacteria; Pseudomonadales; Pseudomonadaceae.
ACCUGCAAGUCGAGCGGAUGAGAGCAGCUUGGUCCUCGAUUCGGCGGCGGACGGGGGAGUUAAGCCUACGAGUCUGCCUAGUAAUGGGGGACAACGUUUCGAAAGGAACGCUAAUACCGCAUACGUCCUACUGGAGAAAGUGGGGGAUCUUCGGACCUCACGCUAUUAGAUGAGCCUAGGUCGGAUUAGCUAGUUGGUAGGGUAAAGGCCUACCAAGGCGACGAUCCGUAACUGGUCUGAGAGGAUGAUCAAUCACACUGGAACUGACACACGGUCCAGACUCCUACGGGAGGCAGCAGUGGGGAAUAUUGGACAAUGGGCGAAAGCCUGAUCCAGCCAUGCCGCGUGUGUGAAGAAGGCCCUCGGGUCGUAAAGCACUUUAAUUUGGGAGGAAGGGCUUACAGCGAAUACCUGUGAGUUUUGACGUUACCGACAGAAUAAGCACCGGCUAACUUCGUGCCAGCAGCCGCGGUAAU